AUUGAACGCUGGCGGCAGGCUUAACACAUGCAAGUCGAGCGGAGAGAGGUAGCUUCCUACUGAUCUUAGCGGCGGACGGGUGAGUAAUGCUUAGGAAUCUGCCUAUUAGUGGGGGACAACAUUUCGAAAGGAAUGCUAAUACCGCAUACGUCCUACGGGAGAAAGCAGGGGAUCUUCGGACCUUGCGCUAAUAGAUGAGCCUAAGUCGGAUUAGCUAGUUGGUGGGGUAAAGGCCUACCAAGGCGACGAUCUGUAGCGGGUCUGAGAGGAUGAUCCGCCACACUGGGACUGAGACACGGCCCAGACUCCUACGGGAGGCAGCAGUGGGGAAUAUUGGACAAUGGGCGCAAGCCUGAUCCAGCCAUGCCGCGUGUGUGAAGAAGGCCUUAUGGUUGUAAAGCACUUUAAGCGAGGAGGAGGCUACUUUAGAUAAUACCUAGAGAUAGUGGACGUUACUCGCAGAAUAAGCACCGGCUAACUCUGUGCCAGCCGCCGCGGUAA
RNAcentral lists this ribosomal RNA (501 nucleotides) under uncultured bacterium. Its description in RNAcentral is "partial 16S ribosomal RNA". It matches the Rfam family "Bacterial small subunit ribosomal RNA", at positions 30 to 523 of the family's 1533-position model. The record is from RNAcentral.